CCUACGGGUGGCAGCAGUGAGGAAUAUUGAACAAUGGGCGCGAGCCUGAACCAGCCAAGUAGCGUGAAGGAUGACUGCCCUACGGGUUGUAAACUUCUUUUAUAAAGGAAUAAAGUGAGGCACGUGUGCCUUUUCGCUUGUACUUUAUGAAUAAGGAUCGGCUAACUCCGGGCCAGCAGCCGCGGUAAUACGGAGGAUCCGAGCGUUAUCCGGAUUUAAUUGGGUGAAAGGGAGGGUAGAUGGGGUGUUAAGGCAGUUGUGAAAGUUUGCGGCUCAACCGUAAAAUCGCAAUUGAUACUGGCAUUCUUGAGUGCAGUUGAGGUAGGCGGAAUUCGUGGUGUAGCGGUGAAAUGCUUAGAUAUCACGAAGAACUCCGAUUGCGAAGGCAGCUUACUGGACUGCCACUGACGUUGAUGCUCGAAAGUGUGGGUAUCAAACAGGAUUAGAUACCCCUGUAGUC
This 460-nucleotide ribosomal RNA is filed under the name uncultured bacterium. RNAcentral describes it as "partial 16S ribosomal RNA". It matches the Rfam family "Bacterial small subunit ribosomal RNA", at positions 338 to 795 of the family's 1533-position model. The record is from RNAcentral.